RNAcentral lists this ribosomal RNA (838 nucleotides) under Arthrobacter ginsengisoli. Its description in RNAcentral is "bacterial SSU rRNA". It matches the Rfam family "Bacterial small subunit ribosomal RNA", at positions 201 to 1049 of the family's 1533-position model. The record is from RNAcentral. Lineage: Bacteria; Bacillati; Actinomycetota; Actinomycetes; Micrococcales; Micrococcaceae.
GGAAAGCUUUAUUGUGGUUUUGGAUGGACUCGCGGCCAUAUCAGCUUGUUGGUGAGGGUAAUGGCUCACCAUGGCGACGACGGGUAGCCGGCAUGAGAGGGUGACCGGCCACACUAGGACUGAGACACGGCCCAGACUCGUACGGGAGGCAGCAGUGGGGAAUAUUGCACAAUGGGCGAAAGCCUGAUGCAGCGACGCCGCGUGAGGGAUGACGGCCUUCGGGUUGUAAACCUCUUUCAGUAGGGAAGAAGCGAAAGUGACGGUACCUGCAGAAGAAGCGCCGGCUAACUACGUGCCAGCAGCCGCGGUAAUACGUAGGGCGCAAGCGUUAUCCGGAAUUAUUGGGCGUAAAGAGCUCGUAGGCGGUUUGUCGCGUCUGCCGUGAAAGUCCGGGGCUCAACUCCGGAUCUGCGGUGGGUACGGGCAGACUAGAGUGAUGUAGGGGAGACUGGAAUUCCUGGUGUAGCGGUGAAAUGCGCAGAUAUCAGGAGGAACACCGAUGGCGAAGGCAGGUCUCUGGGCAUUAACUGACGCUGAGGAGCGAAAGCAUGGGGAGCGAACAGGAUUAGAUACCCUGGUAGUCCAUGCCGUAAACGUUGGGCACUAGGUGUGGGGGACAUUCCACGUUUUCCGCGCCGUAGCUAACGCAUUAAGUGCCCCGCCUGGGGAGUACGGCCGCAAGGCUAAAACUCAAAGGAAUUGACGGGGGCCCGCACAAGCGGCGGAGCAUGCGGAUUAAUUCGAUGCAACGCGAAGAACCUUACCAAGGCUUGACAUGAACCGGAAAUACCUGGAAACAGGUGCCCCGCUUGCGGUCGGUUUACAGGUGGUGCAUGGU